RNAcentral lists this ribosomal RNA (725 nucleotides) under Grimmia funalis. RNAcentral describes it as "eukaryotic LSU rRNA". The stretch from base 415 to 569 matches the Rfam family "5.8S ribosomal RNA". The record is from RNAcentral. Lineage: Eukaryota; Viridiplantae; Streptophyta; Bryopsida; Grimmiales; Grimmiaceae.
UCAUUGCACACACACGCAUGUUGCAGCCAACCCCUUUGCGAACUUUACCACUGUCCCACCCCCCCAACUGGCUCCGGCCAGCCCGAGUCUCCUGAUUCUGACCAAGCACGGCGAGGGGCGCGCCUAACCCGUGUUUGGUUGGAUACGGGGACUUGGUGUUUUGGGUUCCAAACAAUCAUCAUCCUCAUUGGAUGGAUGGAUGGAUGGCGCAAUGCAUCAACACUUUCAAAAUAUGACUGAGUAAUUGGAUGCCACAAGGAGAACGACCCCGGGCGGGGCACCACCCACCACCAGCACCACUCCCUUAAAUAAAUUUCCCGGCCGGGAGGGGAGUGAGUGCGUGCGUGCGUGCGGUGGUGCCCCCACCCCCGAGGAGUUCGAGUUGUGUGUCCAAGUGUGAUAAAAAACCGAAACAACUCUCAGCAACGGAUAUCUUGGCUCCUGCAACGAUGAAGAACGCAGCGAAAUGCGAUACGUAGUGUGAAUUGCAGAAUUCCGCGAAUCAUCGAGUCUUUGAACGCAACUUGCGCCCGGGGCUUCGAGUCUCGGGCAUUUCUGCCAGAGCGUCACCGCGACACCCACCGACCCCCCACUCCUUGGCCGGAGUGAGUGCGGGUCGAGUGGAACUGGCCGUCCCAGUAUAUAGGGGGCUUCUCCUUCUUGGAGUCGUCGUCGUCAUUGGGUUGGCUGAAAUGGAUGGAAUUUGGCCCCGCCCGCGGCGCGAC